This 387-nucleotide ribosomal RNA is filed under the name uncultured Synechococcus sp. RNAcentral describes it as "bacterial SSU rRNA". It matches the Rfam family "Bacterial small subunit ribosomal RNA", at positions 514 to 899 of the family's 1533-position model. Lineage: Bacteria; Bacillati; Cyanobacteriota; Cyanophyceae; Synechococcales; Synechococcaceae. The record is from RNAcentral.
GCCGCGGUAAUACGGGAGUGGCAAGCGUUAUCCGGAAUUAUUGGGCGUAAAGCGUCCGCAGGCGGCCCUUCAANUCUGCUGUUAAAAAGUGGAGCUUAACUCCAUCAUGGCAGUGGAAACUGAGGGGCUUGAGUGUGGUAGGGGCAGAGGGAAUUCCCGGUGUAGCGGUGAAAUGCGUAGAUAUCGGGAAGAACACCAGUGGCGAANGCGCUCUGCUGGGCCAUCACUGACGCUCAUGGACGAAANCCAGGGGAGCGAAAGGGAUUAGAUACCCCUGUAGUCCUGGCCGUAAACGAUGAACACUAGGUGUCGGGGGAAUCGACCCCCUCGGUGUCGUAGCCAACGCGUUAAGUGUUCCGCCUGGGGAGUACGCACGCAANUGUGAAA